This 6063-nucleotide long non-coding RNA is filed under the name Sus scrofa (pig). Its description in RNAcentral is "lncRNA (ENSSSCG00060043912.1)". Lineage: Eukaryota; Metazoa; Chordata; Mammalia; Artiodactyla; Suidae. The record is from RNAcentral.
AGUCAGCCCCUGGGGCCGCCCGGGGAGCUGGGAUGCAGCGCGGGCCACGUGCGCCCGGCAGUACUUAGGUGGUGGCGGCCGGCAGGCGGUGGGGGAGACCUUCCGUGAACUGGCCUUUGCUCCGCCGAGACGACCACCCCUUAGCCGCAGGGGCGCCCGGUGUUUUUCUGCUUUGAUUUCUGAGGCUACUGACGCCCCGAGCGGAGCCGGCAUCUCCAGACCAGGCCGUGGAGCUGCAGCGAGAAGAAUGUGCCUGCUUUGGCUGUGGAUCGCGAGCGCCCGGGCCGCAAAGAUUCAGGGAGAGGUGGGGACGACACGUCAAAGACAUUAUGAGGAAGAAGAUGAAACUCAAAGGUAAGAUUUAUAAACAUAUGCUCCCUGCUCUUAGAUUAAGUGUCCCUGAAGACUUCAACCUAAAGUGGAUCCCUGUAAGUCAAAAUCCUGAUCUUGCACAUGCUGAUGUCUUCUAUUUGGAUACCAGUGGGAAUUGUUAAGUGACUAUGUAAAUCUGACGACAGUGAAGCACAAGCAUUUAUUUGAGAGUGCUGACUAGGGGGAGGUGCAAAAUGUGAAGUAGUAACAAAUGAAAACUGCCUGUAGACAGAGAGGAAUGACAAGGAUACAUUCAGGCAUGUACUGAAGUCAUAAAAUGUAAGUACACUGUACAAAUAAUACACAUUCUGAGGCCUGGAUUCAAAUCCUAUCAGUGACAAUUAUAAUUGUGUAAUCUAGGUGAAGUCACUUACCCUUCCUGUCUUGUCCCCACAGUGCUACCUUACGGGGUUGUUGCAAGAAUUAAAUGAAAUGAUAUGUGCAAAUAGUGCCUGGACACAAUGAGCUCAGUAUAAAUGUUAGUCAUUGGUACCACCCCAUCAUUAUUAUUGUUGUUUUGGAGAAUUACAUGAGCAAGGGCAAGAGGGCAUGUAGAAUGUGUAAAGCACCAACAGGGAAGGUCUCCUUGAGACCCGGUGGAAUCUGAGUUGGGCUUUUAAGUAUAGAACUUAUAAUGAUGGAACUAGGCAGUGAUUCUGGGUGUAGGAAAUAGAAUGAAGCAAAGUUCACAGAAAAAAAAAAAGUUGGAGAUGUGAGGAAGUCAAGUGGCAGGUAUGAUGUUUUGGGAUGGUAGUGAUAAGGCUAGAAGGGAAAACAAUCUCAGGGUCUGGCAGCUAUUUAGAUGUGGCAAAUGAGGGAGAACGAGGGGACACGUAUAACCUAAAUAUAAGUUGGGCAUCCAAAUGGCUCAGUCUCAAAGCAUCAAUGAACUGAUAAACAGUCUAGCAACCAAAACUAUUUUAAAACCAAUUCAAAAUUUUGCUUGCCAUUCUUCAAGAACAUUAAAAAGCAAAAGUUUUAGGAACAAUUCUUAAAUUUCCCUUUCCUCUCCUAAUUCUUACAUUUCAUCAGCUCUGGUACUUGUCACUCUCUUAACCCUUCACUUUCCAUUUCUUCUGUUCUAAAAUGGACAUGAAGCCCUUGUCUCUUUUCGUUUCCUUUCCUCUUUUCCUCCUUUCCUUCUGCCUCUUCAGUCUUCUCUCUUCUUAUCCAUACCCCUCAUUUUGAAUCAUGAAGCCUAGAGACCAUCCUGGAAAAGGCGGGAAUUUCCUUAGAGGUCAGGCUUAGCAAAGCCAUCAAAGAUAAUAUUCUCUUCAUGGUGGGUGGUAGAGGGGUUUAUGUUGUGGCAGAGAGGUUCUAUGUGAACACUCUCAUGUUAAUACAUUUUUAAAUCAUCAAAGAUAAGAGUAAUAUUUUGAGCCUUGGUGAUGGGAUAAUGGGGGAUAUGUCAUUACAGAAAUAGGGAAACCAAGGAAUGGAAGACCUUUGGGGGCAAGAUGUGGAGAUUGGAACUGAGCAUGGAUUGGAGCUACAGUAUCAUUCAAGGAAUAAGUAGACAGAAACCUGGACAAAUUGAUUGGGAAUUCAGAUAGAUUUGGGCAUUAUCCCUACAGGAGUGAUAGUUGAAGGUAUAGGAACGAGUGAGAAGAGAAAUAUAGAGGACAUAAAGAGAAAGAUGAGAGUUAAGGAUGGGAGUGUGGAAAAUACCUACAUUUCAGGAUAGAAGUUAAUAAGUGAAUUCAGGGAAGAAUAGUCCUGGUGUCUAGGACUCACACAGAUGAAUUCCACCAGAAUCUCUGGAAGUGGGCUUUAUGAAUUAACAUUGUUGACACCUUCCUCAGCAAUUCCAUGUGCAGCCAGGUUGAGAGCCACUGCUCUGGUGGUUAUGUGAUGCUUAAUGGUUUUCAGGGUUGUGGGGGAAAGCAGUUGGUAAGGAAUGAAGUCCUAGUUUUUUGGAUUUAGAAGCCAGAAACUCUACCAUUCUCAUUUUGCUGAGGAACCCAGGGCACCAAGAGACUAACUGUGUGACCUUGAACAAGAAACUGAAUGGCUUCCCACCUCAUGCUUACCUCUCAGUGCCACAGACACACUCCUCUCCCUCAUCCUCACCUGCUCCUCCCCACCACAGCCCAAGUCCUGCCCUGAGACUCCCAAGGCUGGGCAAUCUGCCAAAGGCUCUCCAUUCAGAAAUUUUUUUUUUUUUUUAUUAAAGUGUGGUGGAUUUACAAUGUUGUGCCACUUUCUGCUGCACGGCAAGGCAGAUUUUUUUUUUUAACUUUUUAGGAAAAAAGGGUCUUUUUGGCUGUGCCCAUGGCAUGUGGAAGUUCCCGGGCUAGGAAUCGAACCCGCCUGAGCCAUAGCAAUGACAAUGCCAGAUCCUUGACCCUCUGAGCCACCAGGGAAUUCCAAGAUUUUAGAACACCUUUCUGACAGAUUAAAGGCUCACCUGAGGUCUCUUCAGCAGCAGCAGACAAGACCACGCUAUCGGAGGAAACCCAUUAAGAGGGUUUCUCAUAGCUUUGUGAGCCUGGAGAGAAGGUUAACCACUAGAGAAAAUGGCAGGGGGGAUCCUUUAUUUUGGGGUACUGGAGAAGCCCUGGCUUCUAGCACCCUCCCCUCCUCUCAGGCUCUGGCAGCCCCCUCUGUGCUGUUUAUGAAUUGGCGUCGAAGUCUGGGGCUGCCGUGGUAAGGCUGCCAGCGCUGACGAGGACGCAGCAUUUGUGGGAAUUCUGUGACUCCAGAAGGCGAAAGGUCAGUUUCUUUUCAUUGACAGUAUUCUUGCUGCCCAAGGGUUUAUCUCUGGGAAUCUUGACUGGUUUCCAGGGUUAGGCUUCACCUCUAUUGUUACAUGGAAACACAGGAACAGCCCUGUUGUCGUGCCAGACUGGGUUCGACAUUGGACUCCAUUCCCCACGGCACUGUAGUCCCGCCCCCCCCCCCCCUCCCCGCCCCAAGUAAAGUCCUGCCGUCUUCCAAAAUAGCUGAAGAGGCUUUUUAAAGAUACACAAACCUGUUCAUGUGCCUCUCAUACACAUACAUUUGGGCUUGAUUUCUACUCCCCCCGUCUUUCUUUUCUUUUCUUUCUUUCUUUCUUUCUUUCUUUCUUUCUUUCUUUCUUUCUUUCUUUCUUUCUUUCUUUCUUUCUUCCUGGGCUCUACAAAGUCACCCAUGAAUAUGAUCCAACAUUGGAAUGUACCCUGGAGCUUGAGGACACGCCUGACAUCCCCUGAAAACUCUUGUCUUUCACUCAUCCUCAUACACUGAAAAGAUGCGCACAUGUAACCCCUGAACUCACACACGACUCCUCCAGUUCGUGGUCACACUAAAAAUCCGUUUGAGUUACACAUGUGCUUGCUUACCCCUGGCUCCCACACGCCCACCUGGAGGUGUGUAUACACAGCGCUGAUGUCUGUGAUCACCGCUGCGCUGAAAACACACCUUUAGGUGCCUAAGAAACAAAUGGCAAGAGCGAAGGGAAACAGGGCAGCGGAAAGAAUGGCCCUGCUCCAUCCACUUCUGUCCUGAAGCAAAGCAACCUGGAUCUUUUGGGCUAACUUGUGUGCUGGGAACCCAGUGCAGACUUUUACAACAGGCCCUGAUCUGAGUGCAAGCCUCAGAGGAGCAGUCUCCUCCCCAGCCACGUCUGUCUGCUGGGUUCCUCCAGCUGUCUCCAGGGCAGUUCUCCCUAAAUGCAAACUAUUAGCAUUUCCUGUUAAAACAUUUCUAAUAAAUAAAUGAAUACAUCAUCUUCUCAACCCAAAGCAGGUCUGAAAGCAGCCUAGGAGCUCCUCUGAGCUAAGGACGGACAUGGACCACCCAGCACCAGCCCACUGGCCCGGGGCCAGUGCUGCUUUUGUUUGAAUUCCUGUAUGAGUAACUGCUCAAGUUGACGCCAGCCAAACUCAGUGAAAUAUUAUUUUUAAUAUUAAAUAAAUAGAUGGUGGGGUGUGUUGAUCUUUUUUUUCCCCCAGUAAACUGCAGCAUCACAACAUAGAAACUGGCUCUUGUAUCCAGAUUUCCUCAGAUAGCAGAAGGAAGGUUGACAUUCUCUUUGACCUUCCUCAUGGAACUCUUACCCCCCAGGAGACAGAAAAGUCCCAGUUGGUGUUGACAGGACCCUAUUUGGAGUAAGCUGGGAGUUCAAAUGCUAACAAAACUUGUAUGGGUUCACCAGCCAUUUUUGUUAAUUUUUUCUAACUUAUUGUUUUCUUUCAAUAACAGAAGGCACAUGAACUUUAUAUAAAAAGUAGAAAGCACAGAUAAACAAGAAGCUGCUGAGAUCUUAUGACCCAGUAAGAGACAAUUACUCCUAAAUUUUGGUCCCCUUCUUGAAGGUCUGCCAUGCUUUGUGUUAUUCUUCAAAAUCAGUCUUUGACAAUUUGCUGGAUAAAUAAAAGAAAGGAAGAAAAAAAAGAAAGAAAGAAAGAAAAAAAGAACCACCAGCCUUAAACAUUUAACACUAGAGGUGAGCAGUAUAGGAUAGGACUUUUGCACGUCUGCGUCUUUUUCACAACACGUCUUUUGCCAUGUUGGGCACUGAAGGGGACAGACUGAAGAGGAGACCAGUGAUGGCUUCGGAAAGGCUCAGAUGAGUGAGAAGAUGCCUUGACAUCAGAGCAUCUCUUGGGCCUGGUGCAUGGUGGAACACACCUUAGGAAAUGCAGUCUGAUGUCAUAGCGGAAAAUGAUCUUCACGCUGUUCAUGGAGACCAAUGCUGGGCUGUCAGGUUGACCAGUAACAUCCCCAAAUUUUCUGCGAUUUUAGCAAGUGGGUCCAGAAUUUGAUAACACAUCAACAAAAGAAGAAAUCUAUGUCAUCCAGCCCAAUCUUCAACAUUCUCUAUGAGUCCCAGAAAGGGUGUGUGCCUUACCUUAGGUCACACAGCUACUAAUGGUCAAGUGAAUCUCAAGCACUUAACAAUAUCAAGCUCGCUGUUCAUAGCCAGCAUCAAGAACGAAAUUUUAGGAACCUGAGAUUCUUUUUCAUAAAAACCUGCCUUGAUUUGCUCUACAUGGGGCUACUACUCUUUCACAAGGUGCCCAAAUCACCUUUCCUGCCUUGUUAUCUUUUAAAGUCAGUGAGAUUUCUGAAUCAGGAACAGAAUCCUUUCGAUCUCUGCCAUUGACUCUCUUAUCAGAACAACUGACAGACACAGUUCAAUUGACCUAUUCAAGAUCUGCUGGAUCUUUCUCCUCUGUGGCUUGCAGGGAAGGAUGUAAGAAGCAGUGGGAGAGCAGGUAUCAGGAGAGGAGGACCCUGAUAGAACAAGGAGACAGAUGGAGGCUUAGCUGGCUGCAUGCUGAACUGAGCACCUCUCUGGCAGGAGAGAAGGGAGCUGGGUCCCUGACUGUUUACUUCCAUGGAAGUUCACCUGAAUUUUGCUCCUGGGACAGAAUGGGAUAUUCCCGCCCAAUUCUGGCUGUGCACAUUUCUUCCCAAGAACCUCCGUCUCUGCCCUAUCUAUAUAUGGAAACACAUCUGACAACAGCAGCAGACAAGAAAGAUUUUUGUUCUCUCAGAACGCAGAAAAAUUCUCCGUCAGCAGCCGUUUUUUUCAGUGUUUGGUGCAUUGAUGUGUGGGCUACAUAGACUAUUUUAAAGUCAUAUUUGCCUUCAAGCAAUGGCAGCUUUGUAAACAGUAUGGACAUGGACAUAUGAGUCAGAUUCAGUUUAUAACCAAUGCUAAGGCAAUUCCAAAACUACUUUAUUGUAUAAAUAUUGUUCAGAAUU